RNAcentral lists this ribosomal RNA (434 nucleotides) under uncultured Syntrophococcus sp. RNAcentral's name for it is "partial 16S ribosomal RNA". It matches the Rfam family "Bacterial small subunit ribosomal RNA", at positions 341 to 792 of the family's 1533-position model. The record is from RNAcentral. Lineage: Bacteria; Bacillati; Bacillota; Clostridia; Lachnospirales; Lachnospiraceae.
ACGGAAGGCAGCAGUAGGGAAUAUUGCACAAUGGGGGAAACCCUGAUGCAGCGACGCCGCGUGAGCGAUGAAGUAUUUCGGUAUGUAAAGCUCUAUCAGCAGGGAAGAAAAUGACGGUACCUGACUAAGAAGCCCCGGCUAACUACGUGCCAGCAGCCGCGGUAAUACGUAGGGGGCAAGCGUUAUCCGGAUUUACUGGGUGUAAAGGGAGCGUAGACGGAAUAGCAAGUCUGAAGUGAAAUCAUAGGGCUCAACCCUGUAAUUGCUUUGGAAACUGUUGAUCUUGAGUACCGGAGGGGCAGGCGGAAUUCCUGGUGUAGCGGUGAAAUGCGUAGAUAUCAGGAAGAACACCGGUGGCGAAGGCGGCCUGCUGGACGGCAACUGACGUUGAGGCUCGAAAGCGUGGGGAGCAAACAGGAUUAGAUACCCUGGUA